AUCCAGCUGAAGAGUCUUAAAUGGGAUGAAACGCGCGUUCUGGAU
Molecule: non-coding RNA, 45 nt
Organism: Schistosoma curassoni
Lineage: Eukaryota; Metazoa; Platyhelminthes; Trematoda; Strigeidida; Schistosomatidae
Source: Rfam